This 299-nucleotide long non-coding RNA is filed under the name Malus domestica (apple). RNAcentral's name for it is "long non-coding RNA (MDOM_LNC007359)". Lineage: Eukaryota; Viridiplantae; Streptophyta; Magnoliopsida; Rosales; Rosaceae. The record is from RNAcentral.
AAAAACUUCACCCGAAAAGCUUCACUUAAAAAAGCUUCACCUACAGAGCUUCACCUAAAAAAGCUUCACCUAGAAAGCUUCACCUACAUAGCUUCACCCAGAAAGCUUCACCAUCAAAGCUUCACUUAGAAAGCUUCAACACCAAAGCUUCACCUACAAAGCUUCAACACAAAACCUUGCUCCAAAUAAACAAAUUUUGUUCACAAAACCCAAGAUGCAACAUCCUUGUCAUAACCAAACAAGCAAUUAUGUAUAUGUUUCCAAACAUAUUAUAAUAGAUCCAACAACAAGCCAAAGUC